ACGCACGCUGGCGGCGUGCUUCACCCCUGCCAGUCGCACGGAAAGGCCCUGCUUUUGUGGGGUGCUCGAGUGGCGAACGGGUGAGUAACACGUGAGUAACCUGCCCUUGACUCUGGGAUAACUUCAGGAAACUGGGGCUAAUACCGGAUAGGAGCUCCUGCUGCAUGGUGGGGGUUGGAAAGUUUCGGCGGUUGGGGAUGGACUCGCGGCUUAUCAGCUUGUUGGUGGGGUAGUGGCUUACCAAGGCUUUGACGGGUAGCCGGCCUGAGAGGGUGACCGGCCACAUUGGGACUGAGAUACGGCCCAGACUCCUACGGGAGGCAGCAGUGGGGAAUAUUGCACAAUGGGCGGAAGCCUGAUGCAGCAACGCCGCGUGCGGGAUGACGGCCUUCGGGUUGUAAACCGCUUUCGCCUGUGACGAAGCGUGAGUGACGGUAAUGGGUAAAGAAGCACCGGCUAACUACGUG
Molecule: ribosomal RNA, 467 nt
Filed under: uncultured bacterium
Lineage: Bacteria
Description: partial 16S ribosomal RNA
Rfam family: Bacterial small subunit ribosomal RNA
Source: RNAcentral